UAUGCAGAUACAGACAUAAUAUUUUUAUUUUUUAUCAAGCACAGUACUAAUUCUGGUUCUGUAUGUUUCAGAAAGUGCUAGGCCAGUGUGUACUCACGAUGGCUACUAUGCUGCAGUUCAGUACAAAGAUGGUUAUGCAUAUUGUUCAGAUUUUCUUGGAAGGCAAAUCGAAGAUUUUAAACAAGAAAUUUACCUGUCAGAUGGCCUCAGUUGCAACUGUGCAAGACGUCGUUACAUAAUGGAAGAAAACGGCUUGGGGUCAAACAAGCCUAAGUGCUGUCCUAAUGGUGAAUACAAACCCCUACAAACUAGAGGUCUACUAGCAUACUGUGUUGAUACUAAUGGAAACCAGUGUGGCCCUGCAGUUGCGACGACAGACAUCACAUCGUUACCCUGCUAUUCAGAAGAUCCAUGUACAGUAGUUGUGGAAUGUUAGCACCAUCUUAUUGGAAGUGACUACAUGCUUUGUGAUUCUGCUGUUUGUGUUGUAAAAUGUUCAGGCUUAAUAGAAGUACUUAACAGUUUGACAGGAGAAACACUUCUAACUGGGAAAGACUUUUGCUAUUUUAGAUCUUAUUUCCAAGAUACUGUAUAUAUCAGGCCUUUUUUAUGAAUGUACAAAAUCACUUGAGGGAUAGAAGAGCUUAGAAAAUAAAUCUUUUAAGCAAAAUAAUUUUACAUGCUUUACAGAUGCCAUUGUCUCAUCAGCAUCUAAUUUUCCUUUCCUUUCCUAUCCAAAAUUAGAUGCUCUAGAUGCACUAUCAAAGUGCUCUUGAACAAACUAUGAGACAUUUCUUUUAUUUAUGCCUGAAUUACAGUUUAUCAUCUACCUUUGCUAUUUGACAUGUACUACAAUUAACAAAGUAUGAUAUAAUUGAUUUACUAUCUAUUAUCUAGUUAUAAGGCAGAAACUCUUCCUUGUUUAUUAAUUUCGAGCUGUGAAUACUAAAAAAAAGUACACCAUGAAAGCUAAUGGUAUUCAAGUUGGACCUGUAACUACUAUACUGAUUUUUAAUUCAUCCUUUAAUACCACAUGCAUAUAUCAAAUAAUUAAAAACUACUCCUGAACAUCACUGAGACAACCAUCAUGCUUUGUUGCUGAGACCAUUCCAUGAUAUCAAUGUAAUACUGUUAAUCAUUCUAUAGAACAUGGUCAGCAGUUACCUUCCUUUUUAAUUCAUAGAUAAUUAGUUGAGGUAUAUGAUUGUAUUACAGAGUUUAAUAGCCAUUUAUGUAAUUCUUUAGUAUAUGUAAAUUUAUAUUUCUAAGACACUGUUAUGUGACUCUGAUUUCUAUAUCCUUAUGAUCUAAGUUGUUCCUUUUACUGCCAACUGACUCUUCAUUAUCUAUCAGUAUUUCUUUUAUCCUUUAUUUUCUUGGUUCAGACAAAUACAAAGCAAGAAGACUGUGCUAAGUAAUUAAAGAAUUGAUGAAGAAUGUUGAAAGCCAGCUGUAAAAUCACAUACUAUGUUCAUUGUAUUACAAAUGUUUAUCAGUUGCACAAUAUAAUCUACACAUAAUAAAUGUUACAUGACUAAUGUAAAAAAAGAAAAAAGAAAAAAAAAAGAAGGUAUACUUAAACUAAAGUUCAACAAAGAAUAUAUUUCUAAAUAUUAUGCAAAACAAUCAUACCAUUAAUAUCAAUAUUUUUCAUGAAUGUAAUCUACAGUGUCAUCAACAUCUAAGAAUGUCUUAGUUCGUCUUAAAUCAAACUUUAACAUGUUAGUCUCAUAUACAAUGUGUGAGAGUUGCUAGUUUCUAAAUAAGAAUGAGGUAUUUGCAUGGCUAAAGGAAAACAAAAGAAGUAAAGUGCAUUUACUAAAAUCUUUAUUCAAACACUGGUUGUGUAAACAUAGCAAAUAUGAUUAUCCUGUGAAUUUAUCAUCAUAUUCUAUCAUCACUUGUGUGCGAAAAUCCUCAAAAAUGCACCGUAAGACAUGCAAUCUUAAGGAUACCUUGAGCAGAUGGUUACAUUGAAAAUGAAAAUGACCAAUGGAGUACAUCUGUUAGCCUGGCUUCUAUAUGGAAACUGUAUGACCUGUCUACUUUGAUACCAUUAGUACAGCUGAUGGAACCAGGCCUGAAAAGAAAGUAAAGAGAAAGUCAGAACUGUAUAUUUUCAUUUUCAAGUGAUUCCUAAAAUAAGUGAAAAUUAUUAUCAAAUAAAACAAAGAUCUUAUUAAUGAAAAAUAAAAGGUCAUGUGGUUUUAAUUCUCUAAAAAGAGAAAUAUUUCAGCUCCCAAGGCCAAUCUUAUUGGAUGUAAGACACUGCAGAAACCAAAAACUCUCUAAACUAUUUCCAUCAUUUCAUACAAAUUAUUACUGACUGACAUGAAGCGUGAGAUAAACAACAACUGAGAAUAAUUUCAAAGCUGGAAGGGUCAUGAACAGUGACUAACAAAUUAUUUACCUUUUUUUCCUAUCUUAUACACUUCUUUGUCUUGUGAAGGUUUGUAAUGUUAAAAUCAUGAGUGUGUGGAAGGUGAGAUUAAUAUGUAUGGCUAAACAUGCAUUUGUGAUAAUUUAUACAAUCUUUAAAUUUGGAUAUUUACAGAAUAUUUUAUUGUUACUAAUACCUAUGGAUACUGAACUAUGUAUUAUGCAAUCAUAUCCAAUUCAUAUAUUCACCACUGUGAUUAACAAUGUACUCUGUGUGGGAUGUAAUAUGUAAUUAGAUUUUUUAUGAUUUUAUUCACCAAUUUAGUAGAAGGUUACUACCACUGAAAUGCAUUUGCUAUUCCCACUGAAGACAUUGGAACUAAGCUAAUUCGAAAAAAAUUAUGUGUCAAAAGGAGUUGUCAAAAAUAUUUACUAUUCCAAUGAAGUUGGAUAACUGAAUAAAAAUAUAGCUUUAAAA
This is a long non-coding RNA of Penaeus indicus, 2857 nucleotides long. RefSeq lists it as uncharacterized. The record is from RefSeq and is a predicted model, not a curated record. Lineage: Eukaryota; Metazoa; Arthropoda; Malacostraca; Decapoda; Penaeidae. The transcript is spliced from 2 exons.